UUCCCUUCCAUCUUUUCACACCAAAUACAUUCCUGCGUCUCUCUGAAGCACCGACUUGAUGUCUAAAUCGAUUUAAAUCCACGCUGUUGUGAUAAAGUAACCAAAGCGGGGCAAGCACGCUAGCACGGAUUCCCCCCGCAAGGUUGGUGGAGUCCAAAGUUUGUUGACGUCACACGUCUCUGAGCCCCGCCUAUCCGCGGAGCUUCUGAGAAGUGGCUCGGAGUCAAGACGUCGAAAGUCUACAUAAGGAGACUGAACGAUGGCAUAAACCUUUGUGUGUGCGUGGAGGUGUGUAGGGGGGGGGGCGGGGGGGGUCGUGGACAGCAAAUUCGAGGCUUUUUUAUAUCGACUUGAAUUCGUGACAAGAUGGUUGGUUAAUCGUGGUCGUGUUUGCUGUCAAACUAGAUGCACGUUUUCGUCGUCGGCAGGAGAUGAGGGAAGUGGCGCACUUGUUGCAUGUCCGUGAACGCGUCAUCGGGGACAGAAGUGUGGCAACGGUGACAGAACUUUAAAGUUGAGACGCGUUUGUAAAAACAGGGAAAAGCAAAACUUUGGAAUUGAGAGUAAAUCGGACUUUUUAAUUGAGAGUUUGUGAAUUAUUAGGCCUUAUUUUUGUCCUGUAUUUAAAAAGAUUCUCUUGAUCGAUCGUCUUGUACACUUUUUAUAAAUUUAAAAUAAAUAGUAAAAUAAAUUUAUUUUCCUGUGGCUAUUAAUAUUUUAAAAUUGUUAUACUAAGUUUUACGAUGUACUGUGUUUUAAAUUUUGUUUCUAUCAUUUAAUUUUAUUGGAAUUUUGUGGCACUAUAUUUGUGUCCAGUACCUCAUGUAAUGUAAUGUUCAAUGACAGUUUUGUAUCUGUAAAUUUUACUUUUAUUUCAACUCGUGUGACAUAUUUUUUUAUUGCGGUCAUAUAAUCUAGAUUUUAGAGUUUUGGGAUUUAAUUAUAUUGAAUUCAAGUUUUUACAGUG
Long non-coding RNA from Hippocampus comes (tiger tail seahorse), 967 nucleotides. RefSeq lists it as uncharacterized. The transcript is spliced from 3 exons. The record is from RefSeq and is a predicted model, not a curated record. Lineage: Eukaryota; Metazoa; Chordata; Actinopteri; Syngnathiformes; Syngnathidae.